CCUACGGGUGGCAGCAGUGCGGAAUAUUGGUCAAUGGGCGAGAGUCUGAACCAGCCAAGUCGCGUGAGGGAAGACUGCCCUCUGGAUUGUAAACUUCUUUUGUCUGGGAGUAAAAUGUUCCACGAGUGGUGUUUUGUGUGUACCUUAUGAAUAAGGAUCGGCUAACUCCGUGCCAGCAGCCGCGGUAAUACGGAGGAUCCGAGCGUUAUCCGGAUUUAUUGGGUUUAAAGGGAGCGUAGGUGGAUUGUUCAUGCAGUUGUGAAAGUUUGAGGCUCACCCGGAAAAUUGCAGUGGAAACUGGCAGGCGUGAGUACAGUAGAGGUGGGCGGAAUUCGGGGUGUAGCGGUGAAAUGCGUAGAGAUCACGAAGAA
Molecule: ribosomal RNA, 371 nt
Filed under: uncultured bacterium
Lineage: Bacteria
Description: partial 16S ribosomal RNA
Rfam family: Bacterial small subunit ribosomal RNA
Source: RNAcentral